UGAGGAAUAUUGGACAAUGGGUGAGAGCCUGAUCCAGCCAUCCCGCGUGAAGGAUGACGGUCCUAUGGAUUGUAAACUUCUUUUGUACAGGGAUAAACCUACUCUCGUGAGGGUAGCUGAAGGUACUGUACGAAUAAGCACCGGCUAACUCCGUGCCAGCAGCCGCGGUAAUACGGAGGGUGCAAGCGUUAUCCGGAUUUAUUGGGUUUAAAGGGUCCGUAGGCGGACUUGUAAGUCAGUGGUGAAAUCUCAUAGCUUAACUAUGAAACUGCCAUUGAUACUGCAGGUCUUGAGUAAAUUUGAAGUGGCUGGAAUAAGUAGUGUAGCGGUGAAAUGCAUAGAUAUUACUUAGAACACCAAUUGCGAAGGCAGGUCACUAAGAUUUAACUGACGCUGAUGGACGAAAGCGUGGGGAGCAAACA
RNAcentral lists this ribosomal RNA (422 nucleotides) under uncultured bacterium. RNAcentral's name for it is "partial 16S ribosomal RNA". It matches the Rfam family "Bacterial small subunit ribosomal RNA", at positions 355 to 774 of the family's 1533-position model. The record is from RNAcentral.